Molecule: long non-coding RNA, 288 nt
Organism: Parus major (Great Tit)
Lineage: Eukaryota; Metazoa; Chordata; Aves; Passeriformes; Paridae
Exons: 3
Source: RefSeq, a predicted model, not a curated record
GAAAGGCUAUGGUAAAUGAAUGACGUUUGAGCGAGGUGUGAAAUGUGAAGGUACAAAAUUAACUGCAAAAUUAUUGAAGGAGCUAAAUUGUGUAAAGAGAACCUAUAUAUACUUAUCAGAAUAUGCAAUGCAGAUGUAACCCAGGGAAUUGCUUCCAAGCUCUAGGAAAUCCUUCAGACUGCCCUGGAAAGGAGCGCUGAAUGUGUCUGUAGUUUCAGUGUUUGGCCAGUGCACAGUCCUGAGGGCCUUUACUAUGGCUACAAGACCAGAUAUUCAUCCCCAAGGCAC